RNAcentral lists this ribosomal RNA (305 nucleotides) under uncultured bacterium. RNAcentral describes it as "bacterial SSU rRNA". It matches the Rfam family "Bacterial small subunit ribosomal RNA", at positions 334 to 656 of the family's 1533-position model. The record is from RNAcentral.
UUUUCCUACGGGGGGCAGCAGUGGGGAAUAUUGCACAAUGGGGGAAACCCUGAUGCAGCAACGCCGCGUGAGUGAAGAAGUAUUUCGGUAUGUAAAGCUCUAUCAGCAGGGAAGAAGAUGACGGUACCUGAUUAAGAAGCCCCGGCUAACUACGUGCCAGCAGCCGCGGUAAUACGUAGGGGGCAAGUGUUAUCCGGAAUUACUGGGUGUAAAGGGAGCGUAGACGGUUAAGCAAGUCUGGAGUGAAAGGCGGGGGCCCAACCCCCGGACUGCUCUGGAAACUGUGUAACUAGAGUGCAGGAGAG